RNAcentral lists this transfer RNA (72 nucleotides) under Opisthoproctus soleatus (barrel-eye). RNAcentral describes it as "tRNA-Gly". The record is from RNAcentral. Lineage: Eukaryota; Metazoa; Chordata; Actinopteri; Argentiniformes; Opisthoproctidae.
AUUUUCCUAGUAUAUAAAUUAGUAUAAGUGACUUCCAAUCACCCGGCCUUGGUUAAACCCCAGGGGAAAAUA